RNAcentral lists this ribosomal RNA (207 nucleotides) under uncultured bacterium. RNAcentral's name for it is "partial 16S ribosomal RNA". It matches the Rfam family "Bacterial small subunit ribosomal RNA", at positions 335 to 539 of the family's 1533-position model. The record is from RNAcentral.
ACUCCUACGGGAGGCAGCAGUGAGGAAUAUUGGACAAUGGGCGCAAGCCUGAUCCAGCCAUGCCGCGUGCAGGAUGACGGUCCUAUGGAUUGUAAACUGCUUUUGUACGAGAAGAAACACUCCUAUGUAUAGGAGCUUGACGGUAUCGUAAGAAUAAGGAUCGGCUAACUCCGUGCCAGCAGCCGCGGUAAUACGGAGGAUCCAAGC